RNAcentral lists this long non-coding RNA (1125 nucleotides) under Mus caroli (Ryukyu mouse). RNAcentral describes it as "RIKEN cDNA 4930445B16 gene (MGP_CAROLIEiJ_G0005434.1)". Lineage: Eukaryota; Metazoa; Chordata; Mammalia; Rodentia; Muridae. The record is from RNAcentral.
AGAUGCAGAUAUUUGCACCCAACCAAUAGAUAGAAGCUGCUGACCCUUGUGGUUGAAUUAGGAAAAAGCUGGAAGAAGCUGAAGAGGAGGGCCACCCUGUAGGAGGGCCAGAAGUCUCAAUUAAUGUGGAACCCUAAGAUCUCUCAGGCACUGGCCCAACAGCCAGAUAGGAGCCUAUCAUGGCUGUCCUCUGAGUGACCCUACCAGCAGCUGACUGAGACAGAAGCAAAUACUGACACCUAAUCAUUAGACUGAUGCUGGGCACCACUAUGGUUGAAUUAAGGGAAAGAUUGAAGAAGCUGAAUGGGAGGAUGAGCCCAUAGGAAGACCAGCAGUCUCAACUAACUCAGACCACAGGGAGCUUCCAAAGACUGAGGUACCAACCAGGAGUAUACCAACCAGGAAAUCAACUUCAAACAAUCAGAAAUGACAAUGAAUCAUGAUGACUUUCCAAAAAUAUGGAGGAGAUCAAAGAAUAACAAAAUCAAAAGCACACUGAAUCAAGGAAAACUGAGCUGUCUGCAACUUCACAAGAAGACCUACCAGAUCCUGGACAUCUAUCUUCACUUAGAACUCACCAGAUCUCAGACUGAAAUUUGCAAGAGUCUGUUGAAAUCAUCCACCCUAUGACAGUGUGCACGUGUCUAUGUAGGCAUAGGUGCUAUAGCAGAAUAACUGAAGUGAUGCCAGACUCUCAAGGAGCCUGAUGUUACUUAUCUCCUGUCCAACUUACCCCAGUAAGCUUCAGUUGCAUUUGGUUGCUCAUUGUAUGCUCUCUCAUACUCCUAUCAAGGCCCCCCACAAAUAUAGACCAUCACGUAGAAACACAACUGAUACAAUGCAAAGAGCAAUGGAUCAUGGGAACUCAGUCCUAACAGAUACAUCUACAUCACAAUUAUUGCAUCCGUACUUCAAGGAACAUCUGGAAGAGAGUGGAAAUAAUACAUGAGUCAGAAUACCAGAACUGUCCUAUGAAACAGUUAAUGGCAAUGUCAGUGGAUUUGGAGUUACUACUGAAAAGUCUGAAGACAAACUAACAAAUUUCUCCAAAACAAAAAGUGAUUUUUGUAGUAUAUGCAACUGAUAUAUUUCCUGUGGCAAAUAAAGGAAAAUGCUAAGACAUUU